GGUUAAGCGACUAAGCGUACACGGUGGAUGCCCUGGCAGUCAGAGGCGAUGAAGGGCGUGCUAAUCUGCGAUAAGCGCCGGUAAGGUGAUAUGAACCGUUAUAACCGGCGAUACCCGAAUGGGGAAACCCAGUGUGAUUCGUCACACUAUCAUUAACUGAAUCCAUAGGUUAAUGAGGCGAACCGGGGGAACUGAAACAUCUAAGUACCCCGAGGAAAAGAAAUCAACCGAGAUUCCCCCAGUAGCGGCGAGCGAACGGGGAGGAGCCCAGAGCCUGAAUCAGCAUGUGUGUUAGUGGAAGCGUCUGGAAAGGCGCGCGAUACAGGGUGACAGCCCCGUACACAAAAGCGCAUGUGCUGUGAGCUCGAUGAGUAGGGCGGGACACGUGGUAUCCUGUCUGAAUAUGGGGGGACCAUCCUCCAAGGCUAAAUACUCCUGACUGACCGAUAGUGAACCAGUACCGUGAGGGAAAGGCGAAAAGAACCCCGGCGAGGGGAGUGAAAAAGAACCUGAAACCGUGUACGUACAAGCAGUGGGAGCACCCUUUGGGUGUGACUGCGUACCUUUUGUAUAAUGGGUCAGCGACUUAUAUUCUGUAGCAAGGUUAACCGAAUAGGGGAGCCGGAGGGAAACCGAGUCUUAACCGGGCGUUAAGUUGCAGGGUAUAGACCCGAAACCCGGUGAUCUAGCCAUGGGCAGGUUGAAGGUUGGGUAACACUAACUGGAGGACCGAACCGACUAAUGUUGAAAAAUUAGCGGAUGACCUGUGGCUGGGGGUGAAAGGCCAAUCAAACCGGGAGAUAGCUGGUUCUCCCCGAAAGCUAUUUAGGUAGCGCCUCGUGAAUUCAUCUCCGGGGGUAGAGCACUGUUUCGGCUAGGGGGCCAUCCCGGCUUACCAACCCGAUGCAAACUGCGAAUACCGGAGAAUGUUAUCACGGGAGACACACGGCGGGUGCUAACGUCCGUCGUGAAGAGGGAAACAACCCAGACCGCCAGCUAAGGUCCCAAAGUCAUGGUUAAGUGGGAAACGAUGUGGGAAGGCCCAGACAGCCAGGAUGUUGGCUUAGAAGCAGCCAUCAUUUAAAGAAAGCGUAAUAGCUCACUGGUCGAGUCGGCCUGCGCGGAAGAUGUAACGGGGCUAAACCAUGCACCGAAGCUGCGGCAGCGACACUGUGUGUUGUUGGGUAGGGGAGCGUUCUGUAAGCCUGUGAAGGUGUGUCGUGAGGCAUGCUGGAGGUAUCAGAAGUGCGAAUGCUGACAUAAGUAACGAUAAAGCGGGUGAAAAGCCCGCUCGCCGGAAGACCAAGGGUUCCUGUCCAACGUUAAUCGGGGCAGGGUGAGUCGACCCCUAAGGCGAGGCCGAAAGGCGUAGUCGAUGGGAAACGGGUUAAUAUUCCCGUACUUGGUGUUACUGCGAAGGGGGGACGGAGAAGGCUAUGUUGGCCGGGCGACGGUUGUCCCGGUUUAAGCGUGUAGGUGUGUGUUCCAGGUAAAUCCGGUUCACUUUAACACUGAGGCGUGACGACGAGGCACUACGGUGCUGAAGCAACAAAUGCCCUGCUUCCAGGAAAAGCCUCUAAGCAUCAGGUAACAUCAAAUCGUACCCCAAACCGACACAGGUGGUCAGGUAGAGAAUACCAAGGCGCUUGAGAGAACUCGGGUGAAGGAACUAGGCAAAAUGGUGCCGUAACUUCGGGAGAAGGCACGCUGACACGUAGGUGAAGUGAUUUACUCAUGGAGCUGAAGUCAGUCGAAGAUACCAGCUGGCUGCAACUGUUUAUUAAAAACACAGCACUGUGCAAACACGAAAGUGGACGUAUACGGUGUGACGCCUGCCCGGUGCCGGAAGGUUAAUUGAUGGGGUCAGCGCAAGCGAAGCUCCUGAUCGAAGCCCCGGUAAACGGCGGCCGUAACUAUAACGGUCCUAAGGUAGCGAAAUUCCUUGUCGGGUAAGUUCCGACCUGCACGAAUGGCGUAAUGAUGGCCAGGCUGUCUCCACCCGAGACUCAGUGAAAUUGAACUCGCUGUGAAGAUGCAGUGUACCCGCGGCAAGACGGAAAGACCCCGUGAACCUUUACUAUAGCUUGACACUGAACAUUGAGCCUUGAUGUGUAGGAUAGGUGGGAGGCUUUGAAGUGUGGACGCCAGUCUGCAUGGAGCCGACCUUGAAAUACCACCCUUUAAUGUUUGAUGUUCUAACGUGGACCCGUUACCCGGGUUGCGGACAGUGUCUGGUGGGUAGUUUGACUGGGGCGGUCUCCUCCUAAAGAGUAACGGAGGAGCACGAAGGUUGGCUAAUCCUGGUCGGACAUCAGGAGGUUAGUGCAAUGGCAUAAGCCAGCUUGACUGCGAGCGUGACGGCGCGAGCAGGUGCGAAAGCAGGUCAUAGUGAUCCGGUGGUUCUGAAUGGAAGGGCCAUCGCUCAACGGAUAAAAGGUACUCCGGGGAUAACAGGCUGAUACCGCCCAAGAGUUCAUAUCGACGGCGGUGUUUGGCACCUCGAUGUCGGCUCAUCACAUCCUGGGGCUGAAGUAGGUCCCAAGGGUAUGGCUGUUCGCCAUUUAAAGUGGUACGCGAGCUGGGUUUAGAACGUCGUGAGACAGUUCGGUCCCUAUCUGCCGUGGGCGCUGGAGAACUGAGGGGGGCUGCUCCUAGUACGAGAGGACCGGAGUGGACGCAUCACUGGUGUUCGGGUUGUCAUGCCAAUGGCACUGCCCGGUAGCUAAAUGCGGAAGAGAUAAGUGCUGAAAGCAUCUAAGCACGAAACUUGCCCCGAG
This 2777-nucleotide ribosomal RNA is filed under the name Salmonella enterica. RNAcentral's name for it is "partial 23S ribosomal RNA". It matches the Rfam family "Bacterial large subunit ribosomal RNA". Lineage: Bacteria; Pseudomonadati; Pseudomonadota; Gammaproteobacteria; Enterobacterales; Enterobacteriaceae. The record is from RNAcentral.